UACAGAGGCCCCGAGCGUUAAUCGGAAUCACUGGGCUUAAAGGGCGCGUAGGCGGCAAUUCAAGUCAGUUGUGAAAUCUCCGAGCUUAACUCGGAACGGUCAACUGAUACUGUUUUGCUAGAGUACAGAAGGGGCAAUCGGAAUUCUUGGUGUAGCGGUGAAAUGCGUAGAUAUCAAGAGGAACACCUGAGGUGAAGACGGGUUGCUGGGCUGAUACUGACGCUGAGGCGCGAAAGCUAGGGUAGCAAACGGG
This 253-nucleotide ribosomal RNA is filed under the name uncultured bacterium. RNAcentral's name for it is "partial 16S ribosomal RNA". It matches the Rfam family "Bacterial small subunit ribosomal RNA", at positions 524 to 776 of the family's 1533-position model. The record is from RNAcentral.